RNAcentral lists this long non-coding RNA (1432 nucleotides) under Helianthus annuus (common sunflower). RNAcentral describes it as "hypothetical non coding rna". Lineage: Eukaryota; Viridiplantae; Streptophyta; Magnoliopsida; Asterales; Asteraceae. The record is from RNAcentral.
GUUUCAAAUUUCAAAAUUACAUCAAUACCUCCAUCCACUUCUCUCUCUCUCUCUCUCUCUCUCUUUUCUCUGUAGAGAGAAGACAUUUAACAACAAUCGCCUCCACCAAUUCAACAUAUCUUUAUCCCUCCAUCCCAUUCCUACAUAUUCAUCGUAGAUCAGAGAGUAAACAACUCUCUUCAAUCUUGGAUUUGCUGCCUCCUUGAAGACGUUUCUCUCCGUUGAUUAUUUACAAGGAUUGAAGAUGAUCAAGGGUUUGGUAAGUAGAGAUUCCAACGAUCUAUGGCAUAAACAAGCUUGAUUCAUCAACAAGGAGAAGAAGAUGGAUAAUGAGAAGAUGAAUGCCUUACAAAAACUGAUUCCAGAUUCAUAUAAGGUUAUGUGUAUAGUCAGAAUCUUUUGAUCGUUUCAUAUGUUUCUUACAAGGUUAUGAUUUAGGGCUUUUUGAAGUUUUUUUUCAUUCAUUAUGUGCUCAGUUGUGCACUCAAUGAUUUGUAAAAAAUUGUGUGAGUUAGUUUUUCACCUUUUUUAUCACCUUUUUGCUGAACUUUUUUAAUUUUUAAGUUAAAUAUUCACAUGAUAUAUGUGUUUUGAUAGUUCACACGAAUUAAAAUAUUAUAAAUCUUUCAUUGCAGUUUUUAAUGGAAUAUAAUUUUUGUCUGGUUGUUGAUUUGUUGAUAGGUUUUGCAGCAGCAUGCUUAUGUAAAAUUAUGUAAAAAUUCAGGCGGAAGGCUUUGGCAUUUGGCAAUGACACUAAAUUCGUCGCUGGAAUCUAAGUUACAAAGUGCAGCACCCCAUAGGGAGGGUUGAUUAAAGCAUGGUUUAGAGAGUCGCCAUGUGGGGUGCUUGACUGCUGCAAUAAUCGGUUCAAGAAAAUGCUAUCGUUUCGGCUUUAUCGGUGUAUGCUUCUAAUGGUCCCAUGCAGUAUGUUAAUUCAGAUCCUUUGGUCUCUGUAGAGAAUCCUGCUGGUGAAGUCGAUACGGAUGCUAAACCGUUUAAAAGGCACUCUGCACAACGGUCACGAGUACCGGAGUACGUAAACUUCAGUAUAUAGCAGAACUGGAAAGAACUGUUAAGAAUUAUCAGAAUAUUGUGUCAGAAUUGGUUGUUAGAGUUAAAUCAUUAGGUGAGCAGCGUGUUUAUAUGUCAAUAGAAAACAAGCAACUUAAACAGCAGUUAUGGUAGGCUGCAGCAGGAAAACUUUGUCAAAGAACGUUCAAUCCGAACCCGAAAAUCGUGUAACCCAGCUGCCGCCACGACCCGCAUUCUCCAGCUGUGAUUAGAUUCAGCCUGUUGUGACUCGCUUCGGAGAGCUGGGAACGACCGGAAGUUGUGGUUGCUGUGUGACCGAGGUAUAAUCGACUUGAAGUUUGUAGAAGUAAUUUUAUACAUCAGCUUCAAAAGGAUCAGAAGACAUGUGAUAUGCUAGCUG